CCUGUGAAGUGUGCCCAUUCUGGUAGCUGCAUUAGUGUAACAGCACCACCUUCGUUCCCCUGCUCGGCAGACUUGUUUUAAAAGACUCAACUUUCUUUAAACCAGAAAAAGCAGGUUCAGAUUCCCUUAUGGAUGCACUUGUGUUUGAAAACUGAAUGUGUUUAUUGCUCGUUAAUCAAAUGUAUCUAUUUUGUUUAGCAGGUUCAGCUGAGGAGAGAUCUGCCCUCUCUUACAUCUUCCCAGUCUCCUGAGACUCCUGCCACUCCUGGCUGACCUCUACAGCUACAGCAAACAAAUGGAUUUUGCUGAGUUUGUCUUAUGCGAUUCCCUGACUUCACUUGGAGACAGACAAAAGGAAGAUUAUAUUGUGAAUAACUCCAAACAAGAGCUAAGUUGGAGACUGCGGCUGAUUUCUUCCAAAGAAUAACCGAGUCUCUAAGUCGUCACUGAACAAUUAGGUACCUGGCAACAGAACGGAUGUGCAAUUUGAAGCAACUGAAACUGAGAUCAGUCCUGGAUGUAAAAAAUAACCUUAACCACAGUAUCAAAGGCCUGAGGAAGUGGAUUGGCUUACCCUUCUAUAAAGGGAGGAAGGAAUGGGCUAAAACCGGGAAAAAACAUCUCAGAAUGAGCAGAACCUGAAGACGUGCUAGGCAAGAGAAGGCUAGAGUCUCUGCAUAUGCAGAGACUAGGUGGACGUUGCCUCCUACCAAACUGUUCAACUAUCACUAAAUUACUUCUGCGUUGGUACGUAACCCCUUUCUUCCUCAUAAAGACAACUGAACUGUGCCUACACACAAAUCAUGGGAAG
RNAcentral lists this long non-coding RNA (811 nucleotides) under Struthio camelus australis. RNAcentral's name for it is "lncRNA (ENSSCUG00000016155.1)". The record is from RNAcentral. Lineage: Eukaryota; Metazoa; Chordata; Aves; Struthioniformes; Struthionidae.